GUCAAAUCCAAGAGUUAUUAUCCAUAUGUUACAAAUGAGAGCACUUGAGUUUCUGAGAGUUUAGACAACUUGCUCGAGGUCAUAAAAGAGCUCCUGGUGGCCAAGUGGCAGUGUUGGCCAUCACUGCAGAAGGGCACCAUGUCUGGCCUGUGGCUCCAAGGGGCUGCCGACGAGACCAUGAGCCUCAGGAGAGAGCCACAGUGAUCAGCGUGGACACAGGAUGGCACAGCCCUCACCUGGAGACGCAGAGCCUGGGUAAUGCCGCGGGUAUCCGGGCCAGGUCAGCACAAAACCGACAAGGGCCAGGGAGUGUGGGCACAAGCCAGGGGAGCCCCAUGUUCUCGAAUUCCAGUGGACCACAAUGGAAAACAGCAGGGUCAUCAGUGGAGAAAAGAAGAGGACUGAGAAAAUGAGAGAAAAACACGAAGUCCGAACAAGUUAGAGGGGACCUUGGAAAGCAGAGUUUCUGCAGCAAUAACGAAUAUCCGGGAUAGAAGCACAGAAAAGGAUCCAAUGAAAUUCUUAUCUUCCCAUUCAA
This is a long non-coding RNA of Suricata suricatta (meerkat), 538 nucleotides long. RefSeq lists it as uncharacterized. The transcript is spliced from 2 exons. The record is from RefSeq and is a predicted model, not a curated record. Lineage: Eukaryota; Metazoa; Chordata; Mammalia; Carnivora; Herpestidae.